CCUACGGGAGGCAGCAGUGGGGAAUAUUGGACAAUGGGGGGAACCCUGAUCCAGCGACGCCGCGUGAGUGAAGAAGUAUUUCGGUAUGUAAAGCUCUAUCAGCAGGGAAGAAAAUGACGUUACCUGACUAAGAAGCCCCGGCUAACUACGGCACAGCAGCCGCGGUAAUACGUAGGGGGCAAGCGUUAUCCGGAUUUGCUGGGUGUAAAGGUAGCGUAGACGGUGCAGCAAGUCUGAUGUGAAAGGUCGGGGCCCAACCCCGGGACUGCAUUGGAAACUGUUGAACUGGAGUACAGGAGAGGUUAGCGGAAUUCCUAGUGUAGGGGUGAAAUGCGUAGAUAUGAGGAGGAACACCAGUGGCGAAGGCGGCUUACUGGACCGUAACUGACGUUGAGGAGCGAAAGCGUGGGGAGCAAACAGGAUUAGAUACCCGGGUAGUC
Molecule: ribosomal RNA, 440 nt
Filed under: uncultured bacterium
Lineage: Bacteria
Description: partial 16S ribosomal RNA
Rfam family: Bacterial small subunit ribosomal RNA
Source: RNAcentral